RNAcentral lists this long non-coding RNA (639 nucleotides) under Callithrix jacchus (white-tufted-ear marmoset). Its description in RNAcentral is "lncRNA (ENSCJAG00000054753.2)". The record is from RNAcentral. Lineage: Eukaryota; Metazoa; Chordata; Mammalia; Primates; Cebidae.
GUCUGCUCCUAUGAAAUGGCCAGGCAGGAACCCUGGGAGGGGAAGGUGAGCAAGAGGGCAUGCAGAUCAGACAUACCCCAGUCCCAUGGGAAAGACAGUCCUGCUUUCUCCAGGUCAGACAAUCAACUGAGGUUAGAGCCUCUUAGAGGAAUACAGAGAGCCUUGGGGAAUGGGUGCUUAUGACUGUGUUUUGUUACAGAUGUCCUGAUGCAGAACGGCCUGGGCUCCACACAGGCUCAAGCACUGUCUCUGCCAACUCUCUGGGCAGUUCCCCCUGCCAACUCAAGUGUGCAUGUAGGUCAUGGAAUCUCCCACAGUUAGGAUCCUGGAGGUCCAUGGUGAACUAUCUUUCCCAGCUACUCAGGAAGCUAAGGUGGGAGGAUCACUUGAGCCUAGGAGUUCAAGACCAGACUAGGUAACAUAACGAACCUCAACUCUAAACAACAAAAAAGUUCAUCAUCAUUGGUCAUUAGAGAAAUGCAAAUCAAAACCACAAUGGGAUUCCAUCUCACCAGUUAGAAUGGCAAACAUUAAAAAGUCAGGAAACAACAGAUUCUGGAGAGCAUGUGGAGAAAUAGGAACACUUUUACAUUGUUGAUGGCAGUGUAAAUUAGUUCACUUUAUGUCUUUUUAUGGGAG